AUGGGGAUGGGAUUCCUACAGCAGCUAAUCAGCCGGUGCCGGCGCCGGCCGCGAGUGCAGACGCACAGAUCUGCUCGAGCGUGGUGUGGUUGGCAGAAGGAAGAACUCGUCGCCGCCCUCGCAGGUCUCCACGGGAAGGCCAGCCCACAAGCUCCUCGGUGGUUAAAGAGGUUAGUGCGCAACAUGGACAGGAAAUGUGCUAAGGAACUUUCUGCAGAACGGCUGCUUCUUCAGUGCCCAAGCUUGAAAGAUGUUCAUGUCUAUCGAUGUUGUGAUAUGUUGAUCGGAGCAAUCAGAAACGAGGUGAGCCGUGGAUCAGGUUCUCGAUUUCUGUCUGGUCUGUGGCUCAGAAAAGUCGAUGCUCCAUGGAUUCAAUGCAAGGUGAGUCUGUUCUACCCCAACGCGGCCGUCAUUUUGGAACUUCAGAAGCAAGGGAGGGAGUGGACGAACACACGACCGAAAGCGAUGGAUUUCCUCCUGCAAUCAGGAGGUUGGGGAGAGUCUAGUGCUGGAAGGUCGCCGGCACAUGGCACCAGGCGGACAGUGGUCAAGGUGAUGCUGCAGGAGGCCAUGGGUGUGAGCGCCAAAGGGCGGAUCUGCGGCGUUGCUGAAGCGGCGGAAGUGACAAGGGGCAGCUCGCCUCUCACUUCCGAGCUGUCGACGGGGAAGAUGAAUCUUCAGGUUCCUCGUUGGAACAAGAGGUCAUACAGUUUGGUUGAAUUUCUGGGUGUCCAUGGUGUGAGACGAAUUGGAAAUUCGCUUUACGUAGGUGGAUGGCUUGAAUCAUUCACUGCAGGCCGGCGGCUCCCCAGCUGCGGUAUCCAAAUCCAUUUCCAGUCAGCGGGGUGCUCCAGCGCACGCGAAUCCAUUCGAGCGAUGGAGUUCCAAAUGCAGCUAAUUAGAAGGUAUCCUCUGGUGGAGGAGAUGUGUGAAUUACAGACCGCCGUGUUGGGAAAACAGAAGAGCCCGCUGCAGCAGUCUAAACUAUCAACUGAUCAAAAUCGAGCAGCGGAGGUCGCAAUCAAGAGUGUGAUGCUUGUUGGUGUGUCGACGGCUGGGGCACAAGAGAACUACGUACUUACCCGGAUCUCGGUGAUGUGCCAAAGCAGCCUCGGAAGCCGGCGAGUUGCAAAAAUUGUGGUGUGGUGGGGCACCAAAGGAACAAUUUUACGAAAGCGAUGGAGCUGA
This 1188-nucleotide ribosomal RNA is filed under the name Triticum aestivum (bread wheat). RNAcentral's name for it is "partial small subunit ribosomal RNA". The record is from RNAcentral. Lineage: Eukaryota; Viridiplantae; Streptophyta; Magnoliopsida; Poales; Poaceae.